GCAGCCGCCGCGGUAAUACGUAGGUGGCAAGCGUUGUCCGGAAUUAUUGGGCGUAAAGGGCUCGCAGGCGGUUUCUUAAGUCUGAUGUGAAAGCCCCCGGCUCAACCGGGGAGGGUCAUUGGAAACUGGGAAACUUGAGUGCAGAAGAGGAGAGUGGAAUUCCACGUGUAGCGGUGAAAUGCGUAGAGAUGUGGAGGAACACCAGUGGCGAAGGCGACUCUCUGGUCUGUAACUGACGCUGAGGAGCGAAAGCGUGGGGAGUGAACAGGAUUAGAUACCCCCGUAGUCCCUGUCUCUUAUAC
Molecule: ribosomal RNA, 302 nt
Filed under: uncultured bacterium
Lineage: Bacteria
Description: partial 16S ribosomal RNA
Rfam family: Bacterial small subunit ribosomal RNA
Source: RNAcentral